ACCAGUUGUCCUGCCAAGGGCAUGGCUGGGUAGCUAUGUACGGAAUGGAUAAGCGCUGAAAGCAUCUAAGCGCGAAGCCAACUUCAAGAUAAGAUUUCCCACCGCAAGGGUAAGACCCCAGAAAGACUAUCUGGUUGAUAGGUCGAAGGUGUAAGUGCAGCAAUGUAUUUAGCUUAUCGAUACUAAUAGGUCGAGGACUUGACCAA
Molecule: ribosomal RNA, 206 nt
Filed under: Clostridioides difficile
Lineage: Bacteria; Bacillati; Bacillota; Clostridia; Peptostreptococcales; Peptostreptococcaceae
Description: partial 23S ribosomal RNA
Rfam family: Bacterial large subunit ribosomal RNA
Source: RNAcentral